GGAAUGAUGGUGACCUAAACCCUCACCAGAGUAACAAUUGGAGGGCAAGUCUGGUGCCAGCAGCCGCGGUAAUUCCAGCUCCAAUAGCGUAUAUUAAACUUGUUGCAGUUAAAAAGCUCGUAGUUGAAUUUUUGCGUGGUGUUAAUAUUGACUGAUGUCGAGAUUGCACUUCGCUUUUGGGAUUUUUCCCUUUUUACUUUGAGAAAAUUAGAGUGUUUCAAGCAGACUUUUGUCUUGAAUACUUCAGCAUGGAAUAAUAGAGUAGGACUUUGGUUCUAUUUUGUUGGUUUGUGAACCUUAGUAAUGGUUAAUAGGAACGGUUGGGGGCAUUCGUAUUUAACUGUCAGAGGUGAAAUUCUUAGAUUUGUUAAAGACGAACUACUGCGAAAGCAUUUGCCAAGGACGUUUUCAUUAAUCAAGAACGAAAGUUAGGGGAUCGAAGACGAUCAGAUACCGUCGUAGUCCUAA
Molecule: ribosomal RNA, 468 nt
Filed under: Babesia capreoli
Lineage: Eukaryota; Apicomplexa; Aconoidasida; Piroplasmida; Babesiidae
Description: SSU rRNA
Rfam family: Eukaryotic small subunit ribosomal RNA
Source: RNAcentral